CAGUCGCCGCGGUAAUACGUAGGGUGCAAGCGUUAAUCGGAAUUACUGGGCGUAAAGCGUGCGCAGGCGGUUAUAUAAGACAGAUGUGAAAUCCCCGGGCUCAACCUGGGAACUGCAUUUGUGACUGUAUAGCUAGAGUACGGCAGAGGGGGAUGGAAUUCCGCGUGUAGCAGUGAAAUGCGUAGAUAUGCGGAGGAACACCGAUGGCGAAGGCAAUCCCCUGGGCCUGUACUGACGCUCAUGCACGAAAGCGUGGGGAGCAAACAGGAUUAGAUACCCGGGUAGUCCCUGUCUCUUAUAC
RNAcentral lists this ribosomal RNA (301 nucleotides) under uncultured bacterium. Its description in RNAcentral is "partial 16S ribosomal RNA". It matches the Rfam family "Bacterial small subunit ribosomal RNA", at positions 509 to 807 of the family's 1533-position model. The record is from RNAcentral.